Molecule: ribosomal RNA, 232 nt
Filed under: uncultured bacterium
Lineage: Bacteria
Description: partial 16S ribosomal RNA
Rfam family: Bacterial small subunit ribosomal RNA
Source: RNAcentral
AGGGAAUCUUCCACAAUGGACGCAAGUCUGAUGGAGCAACGCCGCGUGAGUGAAGAAGGCUUUCGGGUCGUAAAACUCUGUUAUUGAAGAAGAACGUGUGUGCAGUAACUGGUCAUGCAGUGACGGUAUUCAAUCAGAAAGUCACGGCUAACUACGUGCCAGCAGCCGCGGUAAUACGUAGGUGGCAAGCGUUGUCCGGAUUUAUUGGGCGUAAAGCGAGUGCAGGCGGUCU